GACGAACGCUGGCGGCGUGCUUAACACAUGCAAGUCGAACGAUGAAGCUGGAGCUCGCUCCGGUGGAUUAGUGGCGAAUGGGUGAGUAACACGUGAGCAAUCUGCCCUUGACUCUGGGAUAACUGCGGGAAACUGUAGCUAAUACCGGAUACUUUCACUGGAAGGCAUCUUCUGGUGAAGAAAGAAUUUCGGUCAAGGAUGAGCUCGCGGCCUAUCAGCUUGUUGGUGAGGUAACGGCUCACCAAGGCGACGACGGGUAGCCGGCCUGAGAGGGUGACCGGCCACACUGGGACUGAGACACGGCCCAGACUCCUACGGGAGGCAGCAGUGGGGAAUAUUGCACAAUGGGCGCAAGCCUGAUGCAGCAACGCCGCGUGAGGGAUGAAGGCCUUCGGGUUGUAAACCUCUUUUAGCAGGGAAGAAGCGAAAGUGACGGUACCUGCAGAAAAAGCACCGGCUAACUACGUGCCAGCAGCCGCCGUAA
RNAcentral lists this ribosomal RNA (484 nucleotides) under uncultured bacterium. RNAcentral's name for it is "partial 16S ribosomal RNA". It matches the Rfam family "Bacterial small subunit ribosomal RNA", at positions 28 to 523 of the family's 1533-position model. The record is from RNAcentral.